UUAAGUUUAUUUACGAAAAAAGGCUUUCGCCCCGCUUUAUUAUAUAUAAAGCAACGAUCAACAACAACCCGGUACAAACGCACGCCAGCACAACACACACACACCCCCAAGGCAGGAUACAUAGGCGCUGAGCGCAACGGCACCACCCCUAGCACUACAAGAGCAACCGGGGGCUUCAACCGCGAACACGCCACCGCGAAGAGAUGAAGCCGCAUACGACGAACCGUGGGCUCCAAGGCGGUGCCUUCAGGAAGGUUACAACACCACACUUGUAGUCGACCAACAUUUGGCUACAGCAAUUCUUCUCUAUAAAUGGACAAAAGCCAUUUCCUUAAAAGCUAUAGAAGAGACAGAUUAAACCUCAUAGGGCUCGUCCCAUACUUCCAGCUCUAGAAUAUACUGGUAAUUAGUAUGUGCAAAAGCACGUUAAAUAUCUAUGAAGGGUACAAUAAAUGGCAGCCCAGUGCAUGUAGCUCCCGCUUGCGCAGGGUACGGGGAAGGGUCCGACCACUUUGGGUCUAUUGUACGCAGCCUUUCCCUACAUUUCUGCAAGAGGCUGUUUCCAGGACUUGAACGCGUGACCUCAUGGUCACAAGGCAGCAGCUUUACCACCGCGCCAAGGCUCCGUAUGAAGGGUACAAUACAACUUAAAAUUGGUAAUCUUCUAAAAGCAAAAAAUAUGAUAUGGAGAAAUAAAGACAUAUACAAACAAAGAUCUAGUACUCAUUCUUGAAACUACUACAUGAUACGUGCGAAGAUCAAGAGAGGAGCAGCAUUUGGAGAAAGCUACAGGCUGCAGGCGGCAGAUUCUCUAUUGAUGGGUUCCAGGUUCAUCCAUAGCCUUAAGAUAUAUUGUCCGUAGACCUUCAGAUCCUCAUCGCAUGGCUGGAGUGUAGUCACAAAGGGGUACGCAGAGUCACUUAAGCCGUCGUCUGAGCAUCGUCCGAUCUCCAUCUGCCGGCUAUGAUCAAAUCACUGUAGCGCACGCACUUACUGUACCUGUUCAUGUCGCUGUCAGGCUGCUUUUAUCUUCAGUGAACUUUUCCUCUUUAUAAAGACCUCAGAUCCCAUCGGGAGAGGCAUCGAAUGUAAACUGGGUUGUAACCCUGGCCGCCACUGGAGUGGUUGGCCUACUUUCCUUUUCUUGUAAGAACCCUAAUGAGUUUCCUCUGAAAUCAAGCAAGAAUUCCUCUGAAAUUCCAUGUGUUUGUGUUCGUCAGUUAGUUAGAGCUUAACAAUUGGUAAUCAGAGCAUACGGUUCUCGGCGGCGUAGUGGAUUUGGGGGAGUUUAGGAGCUUGCUCCAUUCCUAGAUCCCGGUGGCGGCGCGGCAACGGGUGGCGCAGGCGGCGGUAGAUUGCUCGAGUGCAGGCCUGGUUUGGGUAGUGGUUGCUUCAGAACUUCUUUGCAGCGGUAAAAUCUCACACACCCAUCCUCUCCGGUGCAUUAUUGGCGGUGGGCACAGGCGGCGGUGUUCGACGGUGGAAGAAACAGGAAGCGCAGGUCCGGUUGCCGCUUGUGGUUGUAAAAUCCCUCCCUCGCCCCCCCUGUUUGUGUUCUUUAUUCUGUUCGGUGCGAAAGCUUCCUGCUUUCAUAAACCCUGACGGAAUCAUGGCUCUCAACUCUAACUCUGCGGACACGGAUCUCCUCGAGCUCAAGUCCCUCCAGUUAGAUGUGCAAACACUCCAACAACAGCGAGCUGCAGAUCGCCAAGAAUUCAUCGAGUUCACCCACUCGGUCAAUCAAAAUUUUGCUGUUUUGCAAAGCAGUUUUUCCAAAGUUUAGUCGAGUUUGGAUGGUUUCUUCUCAAACCAACCGAAUCUGGGCAAACGCCUACUGACUGAAGGCCCUCCGGGUCCUCCUGAAAACCUACCAGUC
Long non-coding RNA from Triticum aestivum (bread wheat), 1876 nucleotides. RefSeq lists it as uncharacterized. The transcript has 2 exons. The record is from RefSeq and is a predicted model, not a curated record. NCBI's taxonomy places the organism in Eukaryota, Viridiplantae, Streptophyta, Magnoliopsida, Poales, Poaceae.